AAGACUAUAGACCUGCGGAGUACCUGCGGAAGGAUCAUUAUAGAGUGGUAAACCCCCCGUAAAAGGGGGGGACCUCCUGUCCUUUGUAGGCUCUUUUUUAAAAGGGCUUUUUUUAAUUUUCUGCUUCGGUGGGGUUAUCCCACCGGAACAACCUCAAAACUCUUAUCAAAAAAUCGUUCUGUCUGAGAACCUUUUAUAAUAAAAAAAAACUUUCAACAAUGGAUCUCUAGAUCGGAAGAG
This 240-nucleotide unclassified non-coding RNA is filed under the name soil metagenome. Its description in RNAcentral is "partial contains 5.8S ribosomal RNA, internal transcribed spacer 2, and large subunit ribosomal RNA". The record is from RNAcentral.